GACGAACGCUGGCGGCAUGCCUAACACAUGCAAGUCGAACGGAGAUUAUUUCGGUAAUCUUAGUGGCGAACGGGUGAGUAACGCGUGGGCAACCUGCCCUCUAGAUGGGGACAACAUCACGACAGGGGUGCUAAUACCGAAUGUGACAGCAAUCUCGCAUGAGGAUGCUGUGAAAGAUGGCCUCUAUUUAUAAGCUAUCGCUAGAGGAUGGGCCUGCGUCUGAUUAGCUAGUUGGUGGGGUAACGGCCUACCAAGGCGAUGAUCAGUAGCCGGUCUGAGAGGAUGAGCGGCCACAUUGGGACUGAGACACGGCCCAGACUCCUACGGGAGGCAGCAGUGGGGAAUCUUCCGCAAUGGGCGAAAGCCUGACGGAGCAAUGCCGCGUGAGUGAUGAAGGAAUUCGUUCCGUAAAGCUCUUUUGUUUAUGACGAAUGUGCAGAUUGUGAACAAUGAUCUGUAAUGACGGUAGUAAACGAAUAAGCCACGGCUAACUACGUG
This 498-nucleotide ribosomal RNA is filed under the name uncultured bacterium. Its description in RNAcentral is "partial 16S ribosomal RNA". It matches the Rfam family "Bacterial small subunit ribosomal RNA", at positions 28 to 507 of the family's 1533-position model. The record is from RNAcentral.